This 949-nucleotide ribosomal RNA is filed under the name Gondwania sublobulata. Its description in RNAcentral is "partial 28S ribosomal RNA". It matches the Rfam family "Eukaryotic large subunit ribosomal RNA", at positions 1 to 962 of the family's 3401-position model. Lineage: Eukaryota; Fungi; Ascomycota; Lecanoromycetes; Teloschistales; Teloschistaceae. The record is from RNAcentral.
GAUUGACCUCGGAUCAGGUAGGGAUACCCGCUGAACUUAAGCAUAUCAAUAAGCGGAGGAAAAGAAACCAACAGGGAUUGCCUCAGUAACGGCGAGUGAAGCGGCAACAGCUCAAAUUUGAAAUCUGGCUCCAAGCGGGGUCCGAGUUGUAAUUUGGAGAGGAUGUUUCGGCCGAGGCGCCGGUCUAAGUCCCUUGGAACGGGGCGUCGCAGAGGGUGAGAAUCCCGUACGUGACCGGUGACCGAGUCCAUGUGAAACUCCUUCGACGAGUCGAGUUGUUUGGGAAUGCAGCUCAAAAUGGGUGGUAAAUUUCAUCUAAAGCUAAAUACCGGCCAGAGACCGAUAGCGCACAAGUAGAGUGAUCGAAAGAUGAAAAGCACUUUGGAAAGAGAGUCAAAAAGUACGUGAAAUUGUUGAAAUGGAAGCGCUUGCAACCAGACCUGCCCGCGGGCGAUCAGCCGUCCUUCUGGGCGGUGCACUCGCCCGCGAUCAGGCCAGCAUCGGUUCGGGCGGCCGGAUAAAGGCCCUGGGAACGUGGCUCCCCUCGGGGAGUGUUAUAGCCCUCGGUGCAAUGCGGCCCGCCUGGACCGAGGACCGCGCUUCGGCUAGGAUGCUGGCGUAAUGGUUGUAAGCGGCCCGUCUUGAAACACGGACCAAGGAGUCUAACAUCUAUGCGAGUGUUUGGGUGUCAAACCCAUGCGCGUAAUGAAAGUGAACGGAGGUGGGAGCCCUUCGCGGGGCGCACCAUCGACCGAUCCAGAUGUCUUCGGAUGGAUUUGAGUACGAGCAUAGCUGUUGGGACCCGAAAGAUGGUGAACUAUGCCUGAAUAGGGUGAAGCCAGAGGAAACUCUGGUGGAGGCUCGCAGCGGUUCUGACGUGCAAAUCGAUCGUCAAAUUUGGGCAUAGGGGCGAAAGACUAAUCGAACCAUCUAGUAGCUGGUUCCAGCC